ACGUAGGGUGCAAGCGUUGUCCGGAAUUAUUGGGCGUAAAGAGCUCGUAGGUGGUCUAUCACGUCGGAUGUGAAACCCUGAGGCUCAACCUCAGGCCUGCAUUCGAUACGGGCAGACUAGAGUGUGGUAGGGGAGACUGGAAUUCCUGGUGUAGCGGUGAAAUGCGCAGAUAUCAGGAGGAACACCGGUGGCGAAGGCGGGUCUCUGGGCCAUUACUGACACUGAGGAGCGAAAGCGUGGGGAGCAAACAGGAUUAGAUACCCUGGUAGUCCACGCCGUAAACGGUGGGCACUAGGUGUGGGACCCUUCCACGGGUUCUGCGCCGCAGCUAACGCAUUAAGUGCCCCGCCUGGGGAGUACGGCCGCAAGGCUA
This 373-nucleotide ribosomal RNA is filed under the name uncultured bacterium. RNAcentral's name for it is "bacterial SSU rRNA". It matches the Rfam family "Bacterial small subunit ribosomal RNA", at positions 525 to 896 of the family's 1533-position model. The record is from RNAcentral.